Ribosomal RNA from Coffea arabica (coffee), 119 nucleotides. The record is from RefSeq and is a predicted model, not a curated record. NCBI's taxonomy places the organism in Eukaryota, Viridiplantae, Streptophyta, Magnoliopsida, Gentianales, Rubiaceae.
GGGUGCGAUCAUACCGGCAAUAAUACACCGGAUCCCAUCAGAACUCAGAAGUUAAGCGUUCUUGGGCUAGAGUAGCACUAGGAUGGGUGACCCGCUAGGAAGUCCUCGUAUUGCACCCC